GCCCAGGUGGCGGAAUCGGCAGACGCGGAGGUCUCAAACACCUCUGACCGAGAGGUCGUGCGGGUUCGAGUCCCGCCCUGGGCA
RNAcentral lists this transfer RNA (84 nucleotides) under Acidimicrobiales bacterium. RNAcentral's name for it is "tRNA-Leu". It matches the Rfam family "tRNA". Rfam says of the family: Transfer RNA (tRNA) molecules are approximately 80 nucleotides in length. Their secondary structure includes four short double-helical elements and three loops (D, anti-codon, and T loops). Lineage: Bacteria; Bacillati; Actinomycetota; Acidimicrobiia; Acidimicrobiales. RNAcentral also lists the same sequence under 2 other names. The record is from RNAcentral.